ACCUGUGCCUCAGUUCCUCACGUGACCAGGGGGAUGAUCACUAGUGAUUUCUACCACAUGGGGCUCUCGGGACAAUACAGUUAAAUGCACUAACAUAUAUAAGUGUCUGCACAUAGUGCCACAUAAAUGUUUGCUAGUAUAAUGAUUACUUCCUGGGAACAUGAAGCUCUAAAGUCUGAAUAGAGGAUGGAGAUAGUUGAAGAAAAGUUUUUAGGCAGUUCCCGUUAUGUCUCAGUGGAAAUGAAUCCAAUUAGGAACCACGAGGUUGUGGGUUUGAUUCCUGGCCUCGCUCAAUGGGUUAAGGAUCUGGUGUUGCCGUGAGCUGUGGUAUAGGUCGAAGAUGCGGCUUGGAUUUGACAUUGCUGUGGCUGUGCUGUAGGCCAGCAGCUGUGGCUCCUAUUCAACCCCUAGCCUGGGAACCUCCGUGUGCCUUGAGUGCAGCCCUCGAAAGACAAAAGAUGAAAGAAAAGAAAAGAAAAGUUUUUAGAAAUAGAUUUUACAUUAAAACUUUGCUUUAAUUCUGUGCCGUAUUCGAGACCACUUUCUAACGUUGUUCUUUAGGGAAUUCUAUUCAAAGCCCUCUUGGAUGAGUUGAAACCAGGGUGGAGCCUCCUUGUAUCCAAUUCUGUGCUGUGGUUAACAGUGUCAUGGAGAAUUUCCAGGGUAUUAAUAAUGAGCUAAUACACCUAUGAAUGUUAAAUGUCUUGGAAGCAGUUUCCUGAUGAGCAAAUAGCAGAUGUGACAAUGGCCAUGGUCUAAUUGCCCGAGAGGCAGUUAAAUAUAGUUUUUAGUCCUUUUCUAAGCAGUUAUUUGAAAGCCGAAAUAUUUUCCCUAAAGGCCUGUCAGUUGUUCUUAGCCACCAAAUGAAGUGUGGCAUAGAGUGCAAAGGGUGAGUGCUUUGGGGUGUGUUUCCUUCCUAUACAUCUAAUUUAUCUUUGUGAGUUGUUGGGGUUUUGGUUUUGUAUAUUUCCAUGUGUGACUUUUUGUGCAGGGAAGUAGCUUUUAUUGUCCUAUAAGUUGCAGUAAAAAAAAAUAACAUGAGUUACCUUUUACUAAGAUCUUUCUAUGUGUCAAGCACCAUAUUGAAGGCUUUAUAUGUUUCAUCACAUGUAAUCUUCAUAAUAAUCCAUCAAAGGAAGUACCACUGUUUUCCAUUUGAAGAAAUGGAAACCAUUUGAAGAAGCUGAGGCUUAGAGGGGUUACCUUGCCCCAGGUUCACCAAGUGACAGGAACACAAAAGCCCACUUACCGUGAUCCUCAAAUGUUCUUUUAGUUCCGUAAUUAAAAUCAGUCCUACCUGCUGCUAGGGGUUUGGAGGUGUCUUGCAAGGUGUAGAUUGAACUGCUCUUAGACCUGUAAUUCUUUUAUUAAAUAGUGUUGAGUCCAAUCUGAGGUGUUAGGAAGUUGUCAUUUUCAUACCAGGAUUGUUGGUGUUUCACUGAGUAGGGCCUUCCCUGGGUGCCUGACAGCCGACCUGCAUGUGUAGGUUCUCUGGGGAUCAAGGUUCAUCCCUGGAGGAGACCUGGGGACAGACUUUGUGAAUCACUGAGACCUAGGCCAUGGGCUCUGGGUAGCUCACAUGUCCAUUUAGCAAAGAGCACUUCACUACCUUGAGGGCAAGAAGGAAAAUACCGUUUGUGUAUUUAUUUAUUUAUGUAUUCAUUUAUUUUGCUUUUUUUCCCAGACCACACCUGCAGCAUAUGGAAAUUCCCAGGCUAGGGGUUGAAACGGAGCUGUUGCUUCCAGCCUAAGCCAGAGCCACAGCAACGCCAGAUCCGAGCUGCGUCUUCAACCUACACCACAGCUUACGGCAAUGCCAGAUCCUUAACCCACUGAGCGAGGCCAAGGAUCAAAACUGCGUCCUCAUGGAUGCUUGUCAGUCUCGUUACUGCCACAAGGGGAACUUCCAAAAUGCCAUUUAAAUAUGGUUUAAAGCUUGAGGAGGGAGGAGAAAGGCAUGAAAAUUACCAGAGACAUUAAGAAAAUCUCCAGUGAAAAUGAAAAAUUAACGUGGUGCAAUGGUCGUGUCUACUGUGUGUAUUUUCAGGAGUGAUUCUUUUAUGCGACAGAGAUGCUGACAUAUCAGUGACUAAAGUUUUACAACAAUCAGAGAGGUUGUGCCCUGUGGGGAGUCUUCCUCUAUAUUUAGAAUAAAACUUUGUGUUUUUUACUGUCAGGACGUGAGCUUAAUUAUAGCAUGUUGCAAACUUUGCCUUUGUGAGGGUGUGUGGGGUGGGGAGGAACUUCUGGAGAAGUUCAGGUGCAAUUUUUGUUUUCCUUUUGAAGCAUGAGUAGGAGUAGAUGCAAGGUAGUUGAAGAAGUGUGCUAUUUCUUGACCCUUAAUGAAUCGAUAAGCUCCCGAGAGCCGGAAGCAUGUUUUACUCCUCUGUUUUAGCUCUUACCAUACUACUUACGAAUAUUUAUUUGCUUGAAUAAAACAAGGGACGUCAACUUAGGCUUUUGGAAAGCUUUCAUUUUGAUUUUUACCUAGGUAAUGCACUAAUUAUUCUAUUGAAAUAUAUUUUUUCCAGCUUAGAAACUUACAUUUAAAAAAAAAUGUAAUUAUCCAUCAUAUUAUCCCAAGAAUUAGCAAUUAUGUGUUUGGUCUUGUUAUUCUUUGACUAUUCAAGGACUACUUUUGUGUGUUUAUACAUACCUGUGUGUUUAGCAUCAAAACAAAUUAUUGCAUUGCAAUUAUUCACAUUGUCAGGCUCAUUACACAGCCUGAAAAGUACUUGAUUCUAGUCAUAAGUCCUUCAUAUCAACCAUGAAAAUUUGCUCAAACCUACAUUUCCUGAGCCUGAAAGAAUCAGCCUGGCUGGUUUAUCUAGAUAAAUAACAGACUCCACCUUGCCUUUAAAAACUGCCUAUUAGGAUGAACAUGAUACAGAUUAUCUUUAGCUUCUGAAUAUAAAAUUUUGCCACACUUUACACAUAGUAACUUUUCACUAUUGUGUAUAUUGAAUGAUUACUUCAAAAGCCGUCAAGAUGGAACCAAGAAAGAUGAAACCAUUUGCAAGGCCAUAUUUGGGGAGCAUAGUGUUCCCAAGGUUUUAUUGGUAUUUUCCAUUCUGAUUCUACCAUCCUACCGUUUGGGGGAACUUAACAUUUUCUCAUUAGAAGAUGUCUGGUGCUAAAAUAGAAGGUAGUUAAUCAGAACUGAGGAGAUGUGCAGUGCAUACACUUAUUAAGGAGCAAUCCGCUGGCUCCUUAUUAUGGCUCUGAGUUCCCAGGCAACACCUUCCCUCUUUUUUUUUUUUUUUUUUUUUU
This 3270-nucleotide long non-coding RNA is filed under the name Sus scrofa (pig). RNAcentral describes it as "lncRNA (ENSSSCG00055018248.1)". The record is from RNAcentral. Lineage: Eukaryota; Metazoa; Chordata; Mammalia; Artiodactyla; Suidae.